This 560-nucleotide ribosomal RNA is filed under the name uncultured Glomus. Its description in RNAcentral is "SSU rRNA". It matches the Rfam family "Eukaryotic small subunit ribosomal RNA", at positions 546 to 1106 of the family's 1831-position model. Lineage: Eukaryota; Fungi; Glomeromycota; Glomeromycetes; Glomerales; Glomeraceae. The record is from RNAcentral.
AAUUGGAGGGCAAGUCUGGUGCCAGCAGCCGCGGUAGUUCCAGCUCCAAUAGCGUAUAUUAAAGUUGUUGCAGUUAAAAAGCUCGUAGUUGAAUUUCGGGAUCAAUAUUUCGGUCAUGCCGUUGGUAUGCACUGUUAUCAUUGAUUUCUCACCUUCUAAAGAACCGUAAUGCCAUUAAUUUGGUGUUACGGGGAAUUAGGACUGUUACCUUGAAAAAAUUAGAGUGUUUAAAGCAGGCUCACGCUUGAAUACAUUAGCAUGGAAUAAUGAAAUAGGACAUCCGAUUCUAUUUUGUUGGUUUCUAGGAUCGAUGUAAUGAUUAAUAGGGAUAGUUGGGGGCAUUAGUAUUCAAUUGUCAGAGGUGAAAUUCUUGGAUUUAUUGAAGACUAACUACUGCGAAAGCAUUUGCCAAGGAUGUUUUCAUUAAUCAAGAACGAAAGUUAGGGGAUCGAAGACGAUCAGAUACCGUCGUAGUCUUAACCAUAAACUAUGCCGACUAGGGAUCGGAUGAUGUUAAUUUUUUAAUGACUCAUUCGGCGCCUUACGGGAAACCAAAGUGU